AGUGAACGCUGGCGGCAGGCUUAACACAUGCAAGUCGAGCGGCAGCGGGUCCCUCGGGAUGCCGGCGAGCGGCGGACGGGUGAGGAAUGCAUCGGAAUCUGCCCUGUUGUGGGGGAUAACCUAGGGAAACUUAGGCUAAUACUGCAUACGACCCACGGGUGAAAGCGGGGGAUCGCAAGACCUCGCGCGAUAGGAUGAGCCGAUGUCCGAUUAGCUAGUUGGCGGGGUAAAGGCCCACCAAGGCGACGAUCGGUAGCUGGUCUGAGAGGAUGAUCAGCCACACUGGGGCUGAGACACGGCCCAGGCGCCUACGGGAGGCAGCAGUGGGGAAUAUUGGACAAUGGGCGCAAGCCUGAUCCAGCCAUGCCGCGUGGGUGAAGAAGGCCUUCGGGUUGUAAAGCCCUCUUGUCCGGGAAGAAAUCGUCUGGGCUAAUACCCCGGGCGGAUGACGGUACCGGAAAAAUAAGCACCGGCUAACUACGUG
This 484-nucleotide ribosomal RNA is filed under the name uncultured bacterium. Its description in RNAcentral is "partial 16S ribosomal RNA". It matches the Rfam family "Bacterial small subunit ribosomal RNA", at positions 30 to 507 of the family's 1533-position model. The record is from RNAcentral.